This 233-nucleotide long non-coding RNA is filed under the name Setaria italica (foxtail millet). RNAcentral describes it as "long non-coding RNA (SITA_LNC002386)". The record is from RNAcentral. Lineage: Eukaryota; Viridiplantae; Streptophyta; Magnoliopsida; Poales; Poaceae.
CGAAGACCUUGUCUCCAAGGCCCUGUUCUGCCGCCCAUCGCCGCUCAAUCGCCGCCAUGGCAGCGCACUCCAUCCUUUUCUUCCCAGUCUUCGUGCUGCCCAAACUCUCUCUCUUCCGCACAGCUACAAAAGGGAGUACCAGAGCCCCACCGGAGUUUCCUUCGACAUUGCUGUUUCGCCGCCCCUACUCUGAGCACACUCGAGCACUUCCGCUGAGCUCUUGAGAAGUUCCC